GACGAACGCUGGCGGCGUGCUUAACACAUGCAAGUCGAACGGAAAGGCCCUGCUUUUGUGGGGUGCUCGAGUGGCGAACGGGUGAGUAACACGUGAGUAACCUGCCCUUGACUUUGGGAUAACUUCAGGAAACUGGGGCUAAUACCGGAUAGGAGCUCCUGCUGCAUGGUGGGGGUUGGAAAGUUUCGGCGGUUGGGGAUGGACUCGCGGCUCAUCAGCUUGUUGGUGGGGUAGUGGCAUACCAUGGCUAGGCCGGGUAGCCGGGCUGGGCGGGUCACCGGCCAAGUUGGACUGGGGAUAAGGCACGGCCUCGAAUGGGAGGCAGCGGUGGAGAGGAGAGCACAGGAGGAGGGGGGCUGGUGCGACCACGCCGCGUCGGGGAUGACAGGCAUGGGGUUGGGAACCACUUCCGCCUGUGACGAAAUGUGAGUGACGGUAAUGGGUAAAUAAGCACCGGCUAACUACGUG
RNAcentral lists this ribosomal RNA (468 nucleotides) under uncultured bacterium. RNAcentral's name for it is "partial 16S ribosomal RNA". It matches the Rfam family "Bacterial small subunit ribosomal RNA", at positions 28 to 507 of the family's 1533-position model. The record is from RNAcentral.